This 431-nucleotide ribosomal RNA is filed under the name uncultured eukaryote. Its description in RNAcentral is "bacterial SSU rRNA". It matches the Rfam family "Eukaryotic small subunit ribosomal RNA", at positions 270 to 701 of the family's 1831-position model. The record is from RNAcentral.
CACACGGUCUCGCACUGGUGAUGUUCAUUCAAAUUUCUGCCCUAUCAACUUGAUGGUAGUAUAUAGGACUACCAUGGGUUAUAACGGGUAACGGAGGAUAGGUUGAUUCCGGAGAAGGAGCAUGAGAAACGGCUACUAUUUCUAAGGAAAGCAGCAGGCGCGCAAAAUUAUUCAAUGGAAACAAAUUUCCGAAAAUAGUGACAAAAAAUAUCAAUGCUGAGCACAAUGUGUUUGGUAAUUGGAAUGAGUACAAUUUAAAUCCCUUAACAAGUAACAAUUAGAGGGCAAGUCUGGUGCCAGCAGCCGCGGUAAUUCCAGCUCUAAUAGCGUAUAUUAAUAUUGUUGCAGUUAAAAAGCUCGUAGUUGAAAUUUGGAACUUUAUUGUAUUGGUUUAUCUUUUUGAUGAACUGUAUAAUGGGUUUCUUCCUACU